GCCCACUGUGACGCUGGUGAACAAGUCUUUGAAGACGAAGGUUGUUUCCGUGAAGGCUUCUGUUCGAGCUGCUGAAGCUCUGGCGAAGAAGUCACCGAACAGGAAGUCUGCAGAGGUGGUGACUGCGUCUAGGAGGACCUCGCCAAGGUCCAAGAGCUGAUGGAUAGGUUCUUGCUCUAUGUGCAAUUCUAUUUUUCAUGUAUUGGGUC
RNAcentral lists this long non-coding RNA (209 nucleotides) under Brachypodium distachyon (stiff brome). RNAcentral's name for it is "long non-coding RNA (BDIS_LNC003937)". The record is from RNAcentral. Lineage: Eukaryota; Viridiplantae; Streptophyta; Magnoliopsida; Poales; Poaceae.